GAUGAACGCUGGCGGCGUGCCUAAUACAUGCAAGUCGAGCGAACAGACGAGGAGCUUGCUCCUCUGACGUUAGCGGCGGACGGGUGAGUAACACGUGGAUAACCUACCUAUAAGACUGGGAUAACUUCGGGAAACCGGAGCUAAUACCGGAUAAUAUAUUGAACCGCAUGGUUCAAUAGUGAAAGACGGUUUUGCUGUCACUUAUAGAUGGAUCCGCGCCGCAUUAGCUAGUUGGUAAGGUAACGGCUUACCAAGGCAACGAUGCGUAGCCGACCUGAGAGGGUGAUCGGCCACACUGGAACUGAGACACGGUCCAGACUCCGACGGGAGGCAGCAGUAGGGAAUCUUCCGCAAUGGGCGAAAGCCUGACGGAGCAACGCCGCGGGAGUGAUGAAGGUCUUCGGAUCGUAAAACUCUGUUAUUAGGGAAGAACAAAUGUGUAAGUAACUAUGCACGUCUUGACGGUACCUAAUCAGAAAGCCACGGCUAACUACGUG
RNAcentral lists this ribosomal RNA (497 nucleotides) under uncultured bacterium. RNAcentral describes it as "partial 16S ribosomal RNA". It matches the Rfam family "Bacterial small subunit ribosomal RNA", at positions 28 to 507 of the family's 1533-position model. The record is from RNAcentral.